This 253-nucleotide ribosomal RNA is filed under the name uncultured bacterium. RNAcentral describes it as "partial 16S ribosomal RNA". It matches the Rfam family "Bacterial small subunit ribosomal RNA", at positions 524 to 776 of the family's 1533-position model. The record is from RNAcentral.
UACAGAGGUCUCAAGCGUUGUUCGGAUUCAUUGGGCGUAAAGGGUGUGUAGGUGGCGCUGUAAGUGGGGUGUGAAAUCUCGGGGCUUAACUCCGAAACUGCAUUCCAUACUGCGGUGCUUGAGGACUGGAGAGGAGACUGGAAUUCAUGGUGUAGCAGUGAAAUGCGUAGAGAUCAUGAGGAAGACCAGUGGCGAAGGCGGGUCUCUGGACAGUUCCUGACACUGAGACACGAAGGCCAGGGGAGCAAACGGG